Non-coding RNA from Pogona vitticeps (central bearded dragon), 579 nucleotides. The record is from RefSeq and is a predicted model, not a curated record. Lineage: Eukaryota; Metazoa; Chordata; Lepidosauria; Squamata; Agamidae.
UAGGAAGAGAGUUCCAGAAUGAAAGGACAAAGUGGACGCUCAAUUUUAUUCUUCUUCCUUUAUUUGCAAAAAUAAAUGUUAAUGGGAUUUUCCCCCCCGCAAGCGCCUAGUUUUUUGCCCCGCAUGUAGCGGCUAUGGAAUGGGAACCGGAAGUUUCUGUUGCCAGUAGCGCUCCUCUCUAGAUCCAUGCUUUUUCUCCCUCCGAAGGAGUCGGAAAGGGAUACAAUUUAACCCUUUCGCGUUUCUUCCUCUCUUCCCCCACCCCCCCAAUUUAUUAUUAUUAUAGUUGCCGGCCGGCAAGGCGAGGAUUAUUAUUUUUUGUCUCCUCCCUAAAAGAGCAGAUUUCCUGGAGGCGAAGAAAAGCCGGCAGGGAAAGAAUCAAGUCCUUCUCUCCAUUGGCUCUGGCUUUCUGGGAGGCGAUGCCGGUCGUUAUUGGCUUUGAAGGAAGUGCCAACAAAAUUGGCAUCGGGAUCGUAAGGGAUGGCAAGGUGCUGAGCAACCCCCGGCGAACGUACGUCACCCCUCCGGGACAAGAGCUUCUGUUCAUGUGUCCAUCUCCGCCACUUCAUUAACGAGCUU